RNAcentral lists this ribosomal RNA (468 nucleotides) under uncultured bacterium. RNAcentral's name for it is "partial 16S ribosomal RNA". It matches the Rfam family "Bacterial small subunit ribosomal RNA", at positions 28 to 507 of the family's 1533-position model. The record is from RNAcentral.
GACGAACGCUGGCGGCGUGCUUAACACAUGCAAGUCGAGCGGAAAGGCGCUGCGUUUGUGGGGCGCUCGAGUGGCGAGCGGGUGAGUAACACGUGAGUAACCUGCCCUUGACUGUGUGAUAACUCCAGGAAACUGGGGCUAAUACCGGAUAUGAGCUCCUGCACCAUGUUGUGGGUUGGUAAGUUUCGGCGGUUGGGGAUGGUCUCGCGGGUUAUCCGCUUGUUGGUGGGGUUGUGGUAUACGAAGGCUUUGACGGGUAGCCCGCCUGAGAGGGGGACCAGGGACAAGGGGACUGCGAUAGGCCGCAGACUGGUACGGGAGGCAGCAGGGGGGAAUAUUGCGGAACGGGGGGAAGCGUGAUGUAGCGACGUCGGGUGCGGGAUGAUGGCUUUUGGGGUGUAAACCGCUGUGGCCGGUGACGAAGCCUGAGUGACGGUAACGGGUCAAGAAGCAACGGCUAACUACGUG